Molecule: non-coding RNA, 334 nt
Organism: Pelobates cultripes (western spadefoot toad)
Lineage: Eukaryota; Metazoa; Chordata; Amphibia; Anura; Pelobatidae
Source: the annotation of a GenBank genome assembly
CCAAACUUCAUUAUACUUAUCUCUAGAUAUCUUGUUUAAGGCUAUGCCAGCUUCCAUGCUACGUUGGUAUUCUAUCUGCGUACAAAUAUCGAGCCAAUUUAACGCACCCAUUUUCCUCCAAUUUCUAGCCAUGACUAUUUUUAUAGCCAUACAAAUAUGGAUCAUAAGGAUUUUUAGUUUUAUAUUACUUUUUGGCAGGUCUAAAUGAAACAAAAACAUUUGAGGCGUAAUCACAGUCUGAGUCCCAAACACAAAAUCCGUCAAUUCCGCUAAAAUUAAUUUCAUAGGUUUCAACUCCUCACAGUCCCACCAGAUGUGGGAGAAUGAACCCAAC